This 173-nucleotide small RNA is filed under the name Gopherus agassizii (Agassiz's desert tortoise). RNAcentral's name for it is "TUC338 (ENSGAGG00000008460.1)". Lineage: Eukaryota; Metazoa; Chordata; Testudines; Testudinidae. The record is from RNAcentral.
UCAACAGCUCUGGAACUGAAGUUUCCUAUUUAUCCACAGAAUACGUACAGCCUGGGCAGUAGAGUCAAGCUUCCCAAUGCUGCCCAACCACUGGGACUCAGGUUCCAACCACGAGCAGUCUCUCUGCAACAGAGGACUGGUCAGUCUCUAGAACCAUUCAGUUCUUGACAAUA